Molecule: transfer RNA, 76 nt
Filed under: Paenalicyclobacillus cycloheptanicus
Lineage: Bacteria; Bacillati; Bacillota; Bacilli; Caryophanales; Alicyclobacillaceae
Also listed under: 30 other names
Description: Alicyclobacillus cycloheptanicus tRNA-Trp
Rfam family: tRNA
About the family: Transfer RNA (tRNA) molecules are approximately 80 nucleotides in length. Their secondary structure includes four short double-helical elements and three loops (D, anti-codon, and T loops).
Source: RNAcentral
AGGGGCGUAGUUCAGCUGGUAGAACGGCGGUCUCCAAAACCGCAUGUCGUGGGUUCGAAUCCUGCCGCCCCUGCCA